This 242-nucleotide ribosomal RNA is filed under the name uncultured bacterium. Its description in RNAcentral is "partial 16S ribosomal RNA". It matches the Rfam family "Bacterial small subunit ribosomal RNA", at positions 112 to 354 of the family's 1533-position model. The record is from RNAcentral.
AACGCGUGGAAAACCUGCCGUAUACUGGGGGAUAACACUUAGAAAUAGGUGCUAAUACCGCAUAAGCGCACAGCUUCGCAUGAAGCGGUGUGAAAAACUCUGGUGGUAUACGAUGGUUCCGCGUCUGAUUAGCUAGUUGGUGGGGUAAUGGCCUACCAAGGCAACGAUCAGUAGCCGGCCUGAGAGGGUGAACGGCCACAUUGGGACUGAGACACGGCCCAAACUCCUACGGAAGGCAGCAG